GACGAACGCUGGCGGCGUGCUUAACACAUGCAAGUCGAACGAUGAAGCCCAGCUUGCUGGGUGGAUUAGUGGCGAACGGGUGAGUAACACGUGGGCAACCUGCCCCAAACUCUGGGAUAACUCCUCGAAAGAGGUGCUAAUCCCGGAUACGAACUAGACAGACAUCUGUACUAGUUGUAAAGUUUUUCGGUUUGGGAUGGGCCCGCGGCCUAUCAGCUUGUUGGUGAGGUAACGGCUCACCAAGGCUACGACGGGUAACCGGCCUGAGAGGGCGACCGGUCACACUGGGACUGAGACACGGCCCAGACUCCUACGGGAGGCAGCAGUGGGGAAUAUUGCGCAAUGGGCGAAAGCCUGACGCAGCGACGCCGCGUGAGGGAUGAAGGUCUUCGGAUCGUAAACCUCUUUCAGUAGGGACGAAGCGAAAGUGACGGUACCUAAAGAAGAAGCACCGGCUAACUACGUGCCAGCAGCCGCAGUAA
RNAcentral lists this ribosomal RNA (482 nucleotides) under uncultured bacterium. RNAcentral describes it as "partial 16S ribosomal RNA". It matches the Rfam family "Bacterial small subunit ribosomal RNA", at positions 28 to 523 of the family's 1533-position model. The record is from RNAcentral.